GACAUACUUCCUCCGUCCCAAAAUUCUUGUCUUAAAUUUGUCUAUAAAUGAAUGUAUCUAAAUACUAAAACGUGACUAGAUGCAUUCAUAUCUAAACAAAUACGUAUAAGACAAGAAUUUUGGGACGGAGGGAGUAUAUU
Hordeum vulgare subsp. vulgare (domesticated barley) is the source of this 140-nucleotide non-coding RNA. The record is from Rfam. Lineage: Eukaryota; Viridiplantae; Streptophyta; Magnoliopsida; Poales; Poaceae.